AACGAACGCUGGCGGCAUGCCUAACACAUGCAAGUCGAACGAGACCUUCGGGUCUAGUGGCGCACGGGUGCGUAACGCGUGGGAACCUGCCCUUAGGUUCGGAAUAACUCACCGAAAGGGGUGCUAAUACCGGAUAAUGUCUUCGGACCAAAGAUUUAUCGCCUUUGGAUGGGCCCGCGUUGGAUUAGCUGGUUGGUAGGGUAAAAGCCUACCAAGGCGACGAUCCAUAGCUGGUCUGAGAGGAUGAUCAUCCACAAUGGGACUGCGACACGGCCCAGACUCCUACGGGGGGCAGGAGUAGAGAAUAUUGGAGGAUGGGCGAAAGCCUGAUCCAGCAAUGCCGCGUGAGUGAUGAAGGCCGUAGUGUUGUAAAGCUCUUUUACCCGGGAUGAUAAUGACAGUACCGGGAGAAUAAGCACCGGCUAACUCCGUG
RNAcentral lists this ribosomal RNA (433 nucleotides) under uncultured bacterium. Its description in RNAcentral is "partial 16S ribosomal RNA". It matches the Rfam family "Bacterial small subunit ribosomal RNA", at positions 29 to 507 of the family's 1533-position model. The record is from RNAcentral.